AACGAUAACCCUGGCCUUCAGGCUUCUUUGCCUCCGGCUGCUUUUCGCUGAACAUGCUGAGGCGUUGACCUUCGUACACGGUGGUCUCGCAGGCACGGUUGCUCUCGGUGAGCACGCCCGCACAGACCUUCGCAGCUUCAGCCGCAUCUGACAGCGGUCCGGCAACAAGCCGCAGUUGCAUUCCCAAACCGUCGUGGCGUUCUUUCACCACGAUGAUCGGUUGCAGCGAUGCGAGCUGCUGUAAAUUGCCCUUGGUCACACCGCGCCAAAGUGCGCGAAGACCUUCGAUCGAAUUGGCGCCGCCGAGAUCGACGCCGAACUCCGUCUUGCGCACUAUAGUUGCUGACGGCAUCUCAACCGGUGCAGGGUUUUGCGGGGCGAUAGCCGCGGUCACGGUCGGAGCGGGAGGUUGAUCGGUCGCGGACGUCUCGGCUUUCUGCUCGGCCGGUUUGGC
Molecule: unclassified non-coding RNA, 454 nt
Filed under: Hevea brasiliensis (rubber tree)
Lineage: Eukaryota; Viridiplantae; Streptophyta; Magnoliopsida; Malpighiales; Euphorbiaceae
Source: RNAcentral